Molecule: long non-coding RNA, 399 nt
Organism: Homo sapiens (human)
Lineage: Eukaryota; Metazoa; Chordata; Mammalia; Primates; Hominidae
Source: Ensembl
CCUGGAGUCUCCCCUGUACUCUCUUGUUAUUGGCUGAAAUGUGUACCUCCAAAAUUUAUUUAUUGAAGCCCUAACCUCAGUAUCUGAGAAUGAAAGUGUAUCUAGAAACAUGGCCUUUAAGAGAGUCAUCUGGGAAGCUUUAGACAAAUCCUGAUGCCCAGAUCCAAUUGCAGACCAAUUAUCUGAAUUUCUGGGGGAAGGAACAAAGCCUUACUUUUCUUGUCAAAACUCUCCAGGUGAUUCCUGUGUCUAUCCAAAGUUGAGAACACUGGUCUAUUAGAUAAUGGGAGUUUGUCCCAGCUCUACAGGUCUGGGGAUAAUGCUGAUGGCUGCAUUUGGGGAAGAGGAACAGAGAAGCCAGCUUGAGCAACAUCUUCUGAGUCACUGGCCAAGAAAUGC